UGCCUAACACAUGCAAGUCGAGCGCGAAAGGCCUUCGGGCUGAGUAAAGCGGCGAACGGGUGAGUAAAGCGUGAGAAUCUACCCUUCAGUGAAGGAUACCUUCGAGAAAUCGGAGUUAAUACUGCAUUCGUCCCUUCGGGGAGAAAGAUGGCCUCUUUGCUGUCGCUGAUUGAUGAGCUUACGUACUAUUAGCUAGUUGGUAGGGUAAAGGCCUACCAAGGCGAUGAUGGUUAGCCGGCCUGAGAGGGUGUACGGCCACACUGGAACUUAGACACGGUCCAGACUCCUACGGGAGGCAGCAGUGAGGAGUCUUGCACAAUGGGCGAAAGCCUGAUGCAGCGACGCCGCGUGGAGGAUGGAGGUCUUCGGAUUGUAAACUUC
RNAcentral lists this ribosomal RNA (381 nucleotides) under uncultured organism. RNAcentral's name for it is "bacterial SSU rRNA". It matches the Rfam family "Bacterial small subunit ribosomal RNA", at positions 45 to 433 of the family's 1533-position model. The record is from RNAcentral.